UUCUAAGGGCGUUGAAGCAUGAUCGCAAGGACAUGUGGAGCGCUUAGAAGUGAGAAUGCCGGUGUGAGUAGCGAAAGACGGGUGAGAAUCCCGUCCACCGAUUGACUAAGGUUUCCAGAGGAAGGCUCGUCCGCUCUGGGUUAGUCGGGUCCUAAGCUGAGGCCGACAGGCGUAGGCGAUGGAUAACAGGUUGAUAUUCCUGUACCACCAUUAUUCGUUUUAAGCGAUGGGGGGACGCAGUAGGAUAGGCGAAGCGUGCUGUUGGAGUGCACGUCCAAGCAGUGAGAUUGAGUGUUAGGCAAAUCCGGCACUCUUAAGAUUGAGCUGUGAUGGGGAGAGGAACUUGUUCCUCGAGUCGUUGAUUUCACACUGCCGAGAAAAGCCUCUAGCUAGAAUAACGGUGCCCGUACCGCAAACCGACACAGGUAGUCAAGAUGAGAAUUCUAAGGUGAGCGAGCGAACUCUCGUUAAGGAACUCGGCAAAAUGACCCCGUAACUUCGGGAGAAGGGGUGCUCUUUGAGGUUCACGCUUCGAAGAGCCGCAGUGAAUAGGCCCAAGCGACUGUUUAUCAAAAACACAGGUCUCUGCUAAACCGUAAGGUGACGUAUAGGGGCUGACGCCUGCCCGGUGCUGGAAGGUUAAGAGGAGUGGUUAGCGCAAGCGAAGCUACGAAUCGAAGCCCCAGUAAACGGCGGCCGUAACUAUAACGGUCCUAAGGUAGCGAAAUUCCUUGUCGGGUAAGUUCCGACCCGCACGAAAGGCGUAACGAUUUGGGCACUGUCUCAACGAGAGACUCGGUGAAAUCAUAGUACCGGUGAAGAUGCCGGUUACCCGCGACAGGACGGAAAGACCCCGUGGAGCUUUACUGUAGCCUGAUAUUGAAAUUCGGUACAGUUUGUACAGGAUAGGUAGGAGCCUUAGAAGCGUGAGCGCUAGCUUACGUGGAGGCAUUGGUGGGAUACUACCCUAAUUGUAUUGGAUUUCUAACCCGCAGCACUUAUCGUGCUGGGAGACAGUGUCAGGCGGGCAGUUUGACUGGGGCGGUCGCCUCCUAAAGAGUAACGGAGGCGCUCAAAGGUUCCCUCAGAAUGGUUGGAAAUCAUUCAUAGAGUGUAAAGGCAUAAGGGAGCUUGACUGCGAGACCUACAAGUCGAGCAGGGUCGAAAGACGGACUUAGUGAUCCGGUGGUUCCGCAUGGAAGGGCCAUCGCUCAACGGAUAAAAGCUACCCCGGGGAUAACAGGCUUAUCUCCCCCAAGAGUUCACAUCGACGGGGAGGUUUGGCACCUCGAUGUCGGCUCAUCGCAUCCUGGGGCUGUAGUCGGUCCCAAGGGUUGGGCUGUUCGCCCAUUAAAGCGGUACGCGAGCUGGGUUCAGAACGUCGUGAGACAGUUCGGUCCCUAUCCGUCGUGGGCGUAGGAAAUUUGAGAGGAGCUGUCCUUAGUACGAGAGGACCGGGAUGGACAUACCUCUGGUGUACCAGUUGUCGUGCCAACGGCAUAGCUGGGUAGCUAUGUAUGGACGGGAUAAGUGCUGAAAG
RNAcentral lists this ribosomal RNA (1540 nucleotides) under Staphylococcus pseudintermedius. RNAcentral's name for it is "partial 23S ribosomal RNA". It matches the Rfam family "Bacterial large subunit ribosomal RNA", at positions 1239 to 2777 of the family's 2925-position model. The record is from RNAcentral. Lineage: Bacteria; Bacillati; Bacillota; Bacilli; Caryophanales; Staphylococcaceae.